This 222-nucleotide long non-coding RNA is filed under the name Lathyrus oleraceus (garden pea). RNAcentral describes it as "Pisum sativum (pea) long non-coding RNA (PSAT_LNC014668)". The record is from RNAcentral. Lineage: Eukaryota; Viridiplantae; Streptophyta; Magnoliopsida; Fabales; Fabaceae.
UUUAAUGGAUUAAUUGUGUAGAAAUUAUGUUGAGCCAUUUUUAUUGACUUGUGAAGUUUGACUAUGUGUUUGGGCCUUGGUCAAGGUUGAUUUGACUUUUGUUGGAUUAAAAUCAUUGGAUUUAGGGGAUUGAUUGUUGAGCCAUUUUUAUUGACUUGUGAAGUUUGACUAUGUGUUUGGGCCUUGGUCAAGGUUGAUUUGACUUUUGUUGGAUUAAAAUCA